This 424-nucleotide ribosomal RNA is filed under the name uncultured bacterium. RNAcentral's name for it is "bacterial SSU rRNA". It matches the Rfam family "Bacterial small subunit ribosomal RNA", at positions 356 to 773 of the family's 1533-position model. The record is from RNAcentral.
AGGGAAUCUUCCGCAAUGGACGAAAGUCUGACGGAGCAACGCCGCGUGAGUGAUGAAGGUUUUCGGAUCGUAAAGCUCUGUUGCCAGGGAAGAACGUCUUCUGGAGUAACUGCCAGGAGAGUGACGGUACCUGAGAAGAAAGCCCCGGCUAACUACGUGCCAGCAGCCGCGGUAAUACGUAGGGGGCAAGCGUUGUCCGGAAUUAUUGGGCGUAAAGCGCGCGCAGGCGGCUGUUUAAGUCUGGUGUUUAAUCCUGGGGCUCAACCCCGGGUCGCACUGGAAACUGGGCAGCUUGAGUGCAGAAGAGGAGAGUGGAAUUCCACGUGUAGCGGUGAAAUGCGUAGAGAUCGGGAGGAACACCAGUGGCGAAGGCGGCCUGCUGGGCUUUAACUGACGCUGAGGCACGAAAGCAUGGGUAGCAAAC